This 223-nucleotide long non-coding RNA is filed under the name Solanum tuberosum (potato). RNAcentral's name for it is "long non-coding RNA (STUB_LNC008953)". Lineage: Eukaryota; Viridiplantae; Streptophyta; Magnoliopsida; Solanales; Solanaceae. The record is from RNAcentral.
UCAAUUAAUUCAAGAAAUCUCUCAAUUGAUAAAGGUAUUUUCGAAGUCAUCAUUUAUUUUGCGAGAUUUUAUGAGAUUUUGUUUUCAAAAUUACAACUUAUGUUGAAUUUUGGAUUGUAUGUAUUACGAAUUUUUCGUCAUUUUUUCGACUUUUAUGUGAGUUUGUUAACAUACUCAUCAAAUAUUUAUGCAUUUCGGAUUUUUAGUAUUUUAAACACUAUUG